GCAAGCGUGCAUGACAAUACAGGAAAUUUUGCGGUCGCUUCGCAUGUGUGAAAAGGCAAUCUUUCAAGGAGGUUGGACAAAAGAGUUAUUGGACGAGGUUGAAACAAUUCCAAAAUGGCGAAAUGACAGUUUUUCCUUAGCAUGAAUCGUUACGAUAACAUUAGUAACUUCAAUAUGAUGUUAUUGGUCAAUCGAGCUACAGUCUGAGGACACAAUCAUAGAGAAAGUCAUAUUCACGAUUAAUCAAACAUUCUUAUGUGCGAUAUAAACAGGGACCACUGUACAUCGUGAUACCUUGCUAUUCGAAGUGAAAUCUUGUUGUUUCAGCGUGAUCGCCAAAAUGAAUUGAAUAAAACGAUAUAUCUUGAAUAUUUCACAAAUUGAAUUCCCUAAGAAAUCUGAUGAGGAUGACGUUUGUAAUUUUGAUUUACCGAUGCAUUGUUGGAAGAAAUGAGCAUCUUAUAACUUUAGGAUUGUCUGAAAUUCAGGAACUCAUAAUAAAUCAAAAUACAUUCAUUUUUGGAAAAUUGUCUUCUUCGAAGUUUCCCUUAACGUGCUAAACAUUAAUUUUUGUUUCAACGUUUCGUAACGUAAAGCUACUAACUUGAUACUUGUGAGAUUUAGCAAAAUUCAGAUUGUUAAGCUGAACCGUCUUACAAUUAGUUCAAUCAAUGUUAGCAUGUUUGGCUGCUAACUCUAAUUGCAUAUUUCGGCUAGACUGCCAACCCUGAUUGCUAACUUCAUAUUGACUAUCCAUAAUGAUUCAAAAGUAUAUAGAUCAAUUUUAACUUUUAGUUUUAGUCCCAUUGCCAAUUUGUCCCUCGGUUCGUCAUAUAAUGAGAUAACUGUACAAUUUUUUGAACUGACCUCCACAACAUAGGUACUAAUCCUGCAUAAAAACCUCGGAUGCCAUUUUUCGUAUAAAUAUCCACACCAGUUAAUAUAGCUUUCGGUCUUUUCGACAGUUUGCUUUCAUCCCCUGGUUGGUAUAUUCCUGUAGAGAAUAUAUUUAGAAUAUUAUUACAAAAUAUUGCACCCAAGUGUGUAAGCAUAUGUAGAAAAAAGUAAAAUGUGAAUCAAAUAGAAUAGAUUUCAAGUCAAAAUUAAAUGAAUCAAAUUACGCAUCUAAACUGUUAUAAUUAUUAAAUUACAGGAUGUGACAUGUCGCACGUGAAUCAUUAACUUCUGGUCUUUUCUCUGUAAUAUAUCUGUGGCAUUCACCAAAUCCAUACACUUAUCUGUAAAAUAUGCUAUGAGAUGAUACAACAGCGUAUUGUUGUGUCAAAUGUUUGUAACGUUCUGUACUGUCCAAUGGA
Molecule: long non-coding RNA, 1316 nt
Organism: Neodiprion fabricii
Lineage: Eukaryota; Metazoa; Arthropoda; Insecta; Hymenoptera; Diprionidae
Exons: 3
Source: RefSeq, a predicted model, not a curated record